Molecule: non-coding RNA, 570 nt
Organism: Sardina pilchardus (European sardine)
Lineage: Eukaryota; Metazoa; Chordata; Actinopteri; Clupeiformes; Clupeidae
Source: the annotation of a RefSeq genome assembly
AGCAGGUUAGCCAUGGUAGCACUCUCUUUGUUCCUGGUCUUGUCUCUCUUAAUAGGAGAAUCUGUUGGGAAUGCCAUCACAUCAUCACAUUCUUCACUGGUCGUCACUGAGGGAGAAAGUGUCACUCUCUCCUGUAACUACAGUGGUAGCACUGGCAAUACUUUACAGUGGUAUCGGCAGUAUCCCAACUCCAUCCCAGAGUUCCUCUACCUCAUGUUUGAGAGUGGCUCCCCUACAGGUUCAGUUCCCCGUCUGACUCCCUCCAUAGAUAAAGAGGCAAAGCGUGUGUUUCUGGAGCUCUCCUCUGCAGAGGCGUCUGACUCUGCUGUGUACUACUGCGCCCUGGUGCCCACAGUGACAGGAACUCAGACUCUGCUGUGCAAAAACCUCUCAGAUGCAGAGGAGUUUCACAAAGAUCUAUCUGCUGGAAAUGUCCAUUUCAGUAAUGGCAAAACAAUCAUCCUCAUUCUAUAAUAACAGACGACACAAAGACAGCUUCUUCUCCCAAGCUGUCACUCUGUUGAACACUCAGAAAUAACCCUUACACCGAACAAAGUGAAUCAACCUGUU